CCGCUGCCGCGCUGUCUGACGACUCCGCCCUGCCGCGCGCCGAGAUGUCGUGCAUGAGCUCGGUGCCCGGCCAGCAGCACGCGCAUGCGCAGCCCACGUCUCCCGGCGUCGCCACCUACCCGCAGCACCAGCUGUCGCCCACCGUCAUGGCUGCAGGAGAGGGCGCGGCUUCGCGUGCCGAGGCGCCGCCGGUGCCGGUGAGCAGCGUGUCGUCCCCG
This is a long non-coding RNA of Schistocerca cancellata (South American locust), 218 nucleotides long. RefSeq lists it as uncharacterized. NCBI's taxonomy places the organism in Eukaryota, Metazoa, Arthropoda, Insecta, Orthoptera, Acrididae. The transcript has 3 exons. The record is from RefSeq and is a predicted model, not a curated record.